This 483-nucleotide ribosomal RNA is filed under the name uncultured bacterium. Its description in RNAcentral is "partial 16S ribosomal RNA". It matches the Rfam family "Bacterial small subunit ribosomal RNA", at positions 28 to 507 of the family's 1533-position model. The record is from RNAcentral.
GACGAACGCUGGCGGCGUGCUUAACACAUGCAAGUCGAACGCUGAAGCUCAGCUUUUGUUGGGUGGAUGAGUGGCGAACGGGUGAGUAACACGUGAGUAACCUGCCUCCUUCUUUGGGAUAACGCCCGGAAACGGGUGCUAAUACUGGAUAUUCACUGGUCUUCGCAUGGGGGUUGGUGGAAAGGGUUUUUCUGGUGGGGGAUGGGCUCGCGGCCUAUCAGCUUGUUGGUGGGGUGAUGGCCUACCAAGGCUUUGACGGGUAGCCGGCCUGAGAGGGUGACCGGUCACAUUGGGACUGAGAUGCGGCCCAGACUCCUACGGGAGGCAGCAGUGGGGAAUAUUGCACAAUGGGCGCAAGCCUGAUGCAGCGAUGCCGCGUGAGGGAUGGAGGCCUUCGGGUUGUGAACCUCUUUCGCUCAUGGUCAAGCCGCAACAAUGGUUGUGGUGAGGGUAGUGGGUAAAGAAGCGCCGGCUAACUACGUG